AGGGGGGGCGGCCUAACACAUGCAAGUCGAACGGUAGCACAGAGAGCUUGCUCUCGGGUGACGAGUGGCGGACGGGUGAGUAAUGUCUGGGAAACUGCCUGAUGGAGGGGGAUAACUACUGGAAACGGUAGCUAAUACCGCAUAACGUCGCAAGACCAAAGAGGGGGACCUUCGGGCCUCUUGCCAUCAGAUGUGCCCAGAUGGGAUUAGCUAGUAGGUGGGGUAACGGCUCACCUAGGCGACGAUCCCUAGCUGGUCUGAGAGGAUGACCAGCCACACUGGAACUGAGACACGGUCCAGACUCCUACGGGAGGCAGCAGUGGGGAAUAUUGCACAAUGGGCGCAAGCCUGAUGCAGCCAUGCCGCGUGUAUGAAGAAGGCCUUCGGGUUGUAAAGUACUUUCAGCGGGGAGGAAGGCGAUAAGGUUAAUAACCUUGUUCAUUGACGUUACCCGCAGAAGAAGCACCGGCUAACUCCGUGCCAGCAGCCGCGGUAAUACGGAGGGUGCAAGCGUUAAUCGGAAUUACUGGGCGUAAAGCGCACGCAGGCGGUCUGUCAAGUCGGAUGUGAAAUCCCCGGGCUCAACCUGGGAACUGCAUUCGAAAACUGGCAGGCUGGAGUCUUGUAGAGGGGGGUAGAAUUCCUGGUGUACCGGUGAAAAUGCGUAGAGAUCUGGAGGAAUACCGGUGGCGAAGGCGGCCCCCCUGUAACAAAAACUGACA
RNAcentral lists this ribosomal RNA (722 nucleotides) under Klebsiella oxytoca. RNAcentral's name for it is "bacterial SSU rRNA". It matches the Rfam family "Bacterial small subunit ribosomal RNA", at positions 38 to 745 of the family's 1533-position model. The record is from RNAcentral. Lineage: Bacteria; Pseudomonadati; Pseudomonadota; Gammaproteobacteria; Enterobacterales; Enterobacteriaceae.